UGGUGGAGUGAUUUGUCUGGUUAAUUCCGAUAACGAACGAGACCUUAACCUGCUAAAUAGUCACGCGAAUUUUUAUUCGCGGCUGACUUCUUAGAGGGACUAUUGACGUUUAGUCAGUGGAAGUUUGAGGCAAUAACA
RNAcentral lists this ribosomal RNA (138 nucleotides) under uncultured eukaryote. RNAcentral's name for it is "partial 18S ribosomal RNA". It matches the Rfam family "Eukaryotic small subunit ribosomal RNA", at positions 1299 to 1458 of the family's 1831-position model. The record is from RNAcentral.